AAAUUGAAGAGUUUGAUCAUGGCUCAGAUUGAACGCUGGCGGCAGGCCUAACACAUGCAAGUCGAGCGGUAGCACAGAGAGCUUGCUCUCGGGUGACGAGCGGCGGACGGGUGAGUAAUGUCUGGGAAACUGCCUGAUGGAGGGGGAUAACUACUGGAAACGGUAGCUAAUACCGCAUAAUGUCGCAAGACCAAAGUGGGGGACCUUCGGGCCUCAUGCCAUCAGAUGUGCCCAGAUGGGAUUAGCUAGUAGGUGGGGUAAUGGCUCACCUAGGCGACGAUCCCUAGCUGGUCUGAGAGGAUGACCAGCCACACUGGAACUGAGACACGGUCCAGACUCCUACGGGAGGCAGCAGUGGGGAAUAUUGCACAAUGGGCGCAAGCCUGAUGCAGCCAUGCCGCGUGUGUGAAGAAGGCCUUCGGGUUGUAAAGCACUUUCAGCGGGGAGGAAGGCGUUAAGGUUAAUAACCUUGGCGAUUGACGUUACCCGCAGAAGAAGCACCGGCUAACUCCGUGCCAGCAGCCGCGGUAAUACGGAGGGUGCAAGCGUUAAUCGGAAUUACUGGGCGUAAAGCGCACGCAGGCGGUCUGUCAAGUCGGAUGUGAAAUCCCCGGGCUCAACCUGGGAACUGCAUUCGAAACUGGCAGGCUAGAGUCUUGUAGAGGGGGGUAGAAUUCCAGGUGUAGCGGUGAAAUGCGUAGAGAUCUGGAGGAAUACCGGUGGCGAAGGCGGCCCCCUGGACAAAGACUGACGCUCAGGUGCGAAAGCGUGGGGAGCAAACAGGAUUAGAUACCCUGGUAGUCCACGCCGUAAACGAUGUCGAUUUGGAGGUUGUGCCCUUGAGGCGUGGCUUCCGGAGCUAACGCGUUAAAUCGACCGCCUGGGGAGUACGGCCGCAAGGUUAAAACUCAAAUGAAUUGACGGGGGCCCGCACAAGCGGUGGAGCAUGUGGUUUAAUUCGAUGCAACGCGAAGAACCUUACCUGGUCUUGACAUCCACAGAACUUAGCAGAGAUGCUUUGGUGCCUUCGGGAACUGUGAGACAGGUGCUGCAUGGCUGUCGUCAGCUCGUGUUGUGAAAUGUUGGGUUAAGUCCCGCAACGAGCGCAACCCUUAUCCUUUGUUGCCAGCGGUUAGGCCGGGAACUCAAAGGAGACUGCCAGUGAUAAACUGGAGGAAGGUGGGGAUGACGUCAAGUCAUCAUGGCCCUUACGACCGGGCUACACGUGCUACAAUGGCAUAUACAAAGAGAAGCGACCUCGCGAGAGCAAGCGGACCUCAUAAAGUAUGUCGUAGUCCGGAUUGGAGUCUGCAACUCGACUCCAUGAAGUCGGAAUCGCUAGUAAUCGUAGAUCAGAAUGCUACGGUGAAUACGUUCCCGGGCCUUGUACACACCGCCCGUCACACCAUGGGAGUGGGUUGCAAAAGAAGUAGGUAGCUUAACCUUCGGGAGGGCGCUUACCACUUUGUGAUUCAUGACUGGGGUGAAGUCGUAACAAGGUAACCGUAGGGGAACCUGCGGUUGGAUCACCUCCUUACCUUAAAGAA
RNAcentral lists this ribosomal RNA (1547 nucleotides) under Klebsiella pneumoniae. RNAcentral describes it as "bacterial SSU rRNA". It matches the Rfam family "Bacterial small subunit ribosomal RNA". The record is from RNAcentral. Lineage: Bacteria; Pseudomonadati; Pseudomonadota; Gammaproteobacteria; Enterobacterales; Enterobacteriaceae.